UCACAUUAACAAAACGCCAUUAACUCUACCGACUCACAUUGCUUCAGCUGUAAUUUGAAUUUAAAUAAAAAAAUAUAUUUGAUGUGCAUACAUGACUGAAAUUUGUUUCUCUCAGAAACUACAUGCAUGAGGAAGAAAGAACUGAGGAAUCCAGCGUCAAUUCGAGUGCCCUUUUCUCCUCGUCGGAUUCAGAUUUCAGAAACUCGAUCUCAAGGCCAAUGAGAAGAGCGCAUUCAUUAACCAUUGCAUUUGGAAUGCUCAUGUUCUAUUUACCUUAACAAGAUAAAUCCUUAAGCCAUCACCCAUCAAAAUUUAAACACAUUAUUUUGACUAUUUAAUGCUUUUUUAGGGUUUAUCUUUUGACCAAGUGCCGUGUGGAUAAUGAUAAAAAUAUUCAAGAUUCUAUAUUCGUCAAUUGAUUGGUUAUUAGAAUCUCUAAAUGCAUACCACAAAUGUGAUCUUAUUCAAUAAUUGACCCAUGCAUACCACAAAUGUGAUCUUUACCGUUUGCAAGCCACGUGCUUUGACUGUCCUAAGGUCCAUAGAGUUCUUUCUUUUGAUAUUGCAUUUGAUUCUGAGUUCUUGUUUUUUACCUAUUCCUGCCAUAUUAUUAGUUUCCUAAGAAAAGAAGAAUUGUGAUUUGUAAGAAUAUAGACAACUACUUUUUUUUACCUUCUAAAUGGUUGUUAGCGAGCAAUUGGGAGGUUGUUUUCACUUUGCAUAGACAGAUACACAAGUUUAUGGUCUUGGUUGUUAUGACAGACUGUAUGCCUUUGCAAGUUGCAAUUAGUUGACACUUGACACUAGUGGCAUACCUUAAUCAUGGUUCCACUUUUAUCCUUUUAAAAAGUAUAGUCAGUUUCGCCUUUAUUAGUGCAUGAUGAGGGAUGAUAUUGUUUUAGAAAACGAGUGAGUUACUUGCAUGUUUGCAUAGUAUUUUUUUUCUUGGUCAAAAUUGGUGUGGCCAUGUGUGACUGAUAGUUACUUCAACCAAAAUGAAAGAGAUUAGAGUACAUGUCAAAUGAGAAUAAGUUGAUUUACUGAAUUACACAUGGUGCAUCAUGAAUCAACCUUAUUCAAA
Molecule: long non-coding RNA, 1081 nt
Organism: Arachis duranensis
Lineage: Eukaryota; Viridiplantae; Streptophyta; Magnoliopsida; Fabales; Fabaceae
Exons: 2
Source: RefSeq, a predicted model, not a curated record